UACGUAGGGUGCGAGCGUUUGUCCGGAAUUAUUGGGCGUAAAGAGCUUGUAGGCGGUUUGUCGCGUCUGCUGUGAAAUUCCAGGGCUUAACCCUGGGCUUGCAGUGGGUACGGGCAGACUAGAGUGCGGUAGGGGAGAUUGGAAUUCCUGGUGUAGCGGUGGAAUGCGCAGAUAUCAGGAGGAACACCGAUGGCGAAGGCAGAUCUCUGGGCCGUAACUGACGCUGAGGAGCGAAAGCAUGGGGAGCGAACAGG
RNAcentral lists this ribosomal RNA (254 nucleotides) under uncultured bacterium. Its description in RNAcentral is "partial 16S ribosomal RNA". It matches the Rfam family "Bacterial small subunit ribosomal RNA", at positions 524 to 776 of the family's 1533-position model. The record is from RNAcentral.